RNAcentral lists this ribosomal RNA (465 nucleotides) under uncultured bacterium. RNAcentral's name for it is "bacterial SSU rRNA". It matches the Rfam family "Bacterial small subunit ribosomal RNA", at positions 32 to 524 of the family's 1533-position model. The record is from RNAcentral.
AAUCAACGCUGGCGGCGUGCCUAACACAUGCAAGUCGCACGAGAAAGGGACUUCGGUCCUGAGUAAAGUGGCGCACGGGUGAGUAACACGUGAAUCAUCUACCUUCGAGUGGGGAAUAACUGAGAGAAAUCUUAGCUAAUACCGCAUAAUACCUACGGGUCAAAGCAGCAAUGCGCUUGAAGAGGAGUUCGCGGCAGAUUAGUUAGUUGGCGGGGUAAUGGCCCACCAAGACGAUGAUCUGUAUCCGGCCUGAGAGGGCGCACGGGACACACUGGAACUGAAACACGGUCCAGACUCCUACGGGAGGCAGCAGUGGGGAAUUUUGCGCAAUGGGGGAAACCCUGACGCAGCAACGCCGCGUGGAGGAUGAAAUCCCUUGGGAUGUAAACUCCUUUCGAUCGGGAAGAUAAUGACGGUACCGAGAGAAGAAGCCCCGGCUAACUUCGUGCCAGCAGCCGCCGUAAU